CUGUGCUAGACGGGGAAGUAGCGGAGCCCUGUAACCCGCAAUCCGCUAUAGCGGGGUUGAAUUCCUGUCUGCGGUAUGUUGCUUGCAGGGUCUGGCCUGAGUAAGUGAUGUUGAUCACCGGGUCCUGCGCAACGGAGGUCUAUGAACCCUGUCAGGUCCGGAAGGAAGCAGCAGUAAGUAGAAUUCUUCGUGUGCCGCAGGGGUGCCUGGUGGGAGUUAACUGCUCGGUUACCGCCUGUGAGUGCAUAACAAGGGCAGGUGCACAG
RNAcentral lists this signal recognition particle RNA (266 nucleotides) under Clostridiales bacterium. RNAcentral describes it as "signal recognition particle sRNA large type". It matches the Rfam family "Bacterial large signal recognition particle RNA". From Rfam's summary of the family: The signal recognition particle (SRP) is a universally conserved ribonucleoprotein involved in the co-translational targeting of proteins to membranes. Archaeal SRP consists of a 7S RNA and homologues of the eukaryotic SRP19 and SRP54 proteins. RNAcentral also lists the same sequence under 1 other name. Lineage: Bacteria; Bacillati; Bacillota; Clostridia; Eubacteriales. The record is from RNAcentral.